Molecule: ribosomal RNA, 458 nt
Filed under: uncultured bacterium
Lineage: Bacteria
Description: partial 16S ribosomal RNA
Rfam family: Bacterial small subunit ribosomal RNA
Source: RNAcentral
CCUACGGGUGGCAGCAGUGGGGAAUAUUGCACAAUGGGGGAAACCCUGAUGCAGCGACGCCGCGUGAGUGAAGAAGUAAUUCGUUACGUAAAGCUCUAUCAGCAGGGAAGAAACACUGACCUUACGGUCAGCAGACGGUACCUGAGUAAGAAGCGCCGGCUAACUACGUGCCAGCAGCCGCGGUAAUACGGAGGGGGCAAGCGUUAUCCGGAUUUACUGGGUGUAAAGGGAGCGUAGACGGUGCGCCAAGUCUGGAGUGAAAUGCCGCAGCUUAACUGCGGAACUGCUUUGGAAACUGGCGAACUAGAGUGCGGGAGGGGUAAGCGGAAUGCGUGGUGUAGCGGUGAAAUGCGUAGAUAUUAGGCAGAACACCGAUGGCGAAGGCGGCUUACUGGACCGUAACUGACGUUGAGGCACGAAAGCGUGGGGAGCAAACAGGAUUAGAUACCCUUGUAGUC